This 1732-nucleotide long non-coding RNA is filed under the name Vulpes vulpes (red fox). RNAcentral describes it as "lncRNA (ENSVVUG00000019001.1)". The record is from RNAcentral. Lineage: Eukaryota; Metazoa; Chordata; Mammalia; Carnivora; Canidae.
UAGACGUUUUUUUGUGCUGCCUUUUUCUCCUGGACCCAAUGUUCUAUCAGACCCAAAUGUGAGAUCUACUUCUCUGAGAAAUUCUCCCACUCAAAGGGAACACUUUGAUGAGAUUAAUUAACCCGAAUACCAAAGAUCUGUUUGUGGCACCCAGAUGUGGAGUUGGUGGGCAGGUCCCGCUCAAGGAGGAGCAAAGUUCUAGGAAGGGGAAGAGGACCCAGGAAGGUCAUCCAGGUUCCUCAGCAUGAGCCAGGCACUCUCGGUUUACAUUCGACCAGGAAGGGAAGGAGCCUGUGGAAUUCCCAGCACAUCCCAGCGCGGGAGGCAACACCAGGAUUCCCAGCCUGUGGUACUGUGACCUCGCCUGCUCACCCAGGUCGCAAGCUUGGAAGAAAGUUUUAUUCUUCACACCAGGCCUAACAUAUUGCAUUGUAUUUACAAGCCGUUGAGCAGUUCUAUGAAACACCCAACCCUAUCUUCAGAUCCAGAAAGAAGAUUCCGAGUGAGUGAGCAGCAGGGGUGGGAGCCAAGCCUGAAGGCCACACACCAGCGACUCCUGCUUCCAGCCAAAAGUCCUGGUAACCUGUUAGCCUCCUGCCUUGGUGGGGCCAUGGGGCCGGGCCUGCCUUCCCAGCCCCGUCCUGAGCCAGGCCAGGAGAGGACAAAGACUCGCAUUCAGAGGCAAACCUGCUCCCGCCGCACACCCCGAGCAGCUCUUCUGAAGCUCAGCCACUUUCCCCUCUGGAGCCUUCUGUUUCCUGCCCAGUUCCAGCUGCUUCUGUGAAAUCAAUCAGGUCAAGGUCAAAUGGCCAACGCGGGAAGCCAAAGGCAGGGAAGUAGGUUUAGAGAACUGAACAGACACCCUCACUGCCAGCUCACAGUUGUGACUCAGCGGAAAUUCUGGAACGCAGAGCCUGACCCAAAUGUUUGUGGAAAAGAGGGGAAUCGAUGCUCCUGGAAUCAGCAGAGAAUGAAUCAAUGCCUGGCUGAUGAAUGAAUGAAUGAGUGGAUGAAUGAAUGAGUGCAUGAAGGGAAGGACAGGCCCUUCACCCUGCUGAAGAAAUAGGAGGGAAGCGCUCUCAGCGCUCUGAGGGUUGGAGGAUGCUUGAGAGUCUGUGCUGGAGUCUUCAGGGAAACCCGGCAGGGGUGGGGGGGCACUGACUCCCCCUGCACACCAUGGGCUUGGGCAAAGCUCCCCCUUGGUUCCUGACUCUGCCGGAGGAGGAAAUCCUGAGCAGACUACUGGGGAGGGCUCCUGGCUUCCAGCCGUCAGAUGACAUAUAGAAGCGGGUGGAGAGGGCAGGAAGAUACAGUUGGCAGGCGUCCCCUUGCUGAGGUCACAGCAGCUGAAGAUAGGCGGUGACCUUUGGUACCCACCUUGUUGGCGUUGGCGGAAGGAGCCGCACUCCAGGGACAGGCUGUGGGUGCGGCUGUGCUGAGGGUGGCAGGGAGGGAGUCUGCUCACUCCCCUGUGCCUGCAGGUCCUCAGGGCCCAAGGGACACGUUUGCAUUCGAGACCCUUGUCUCACAUCCCCCCCAAGUGAGGGCACGGGCCCCACACUGCUGAGAACCCUGGGGAUGGGAGACAGCCUAGAUGACCUCUCCCGGGGGCCCCACGAGGGUAAGCUAGGGCACCUGGCUCCCCUGAGGGCUAAGGAGGUGUGUUGCUCUGUCCCUUGGUGCCCGCUGGGAUAGGGAAGGGAGCAGGGAGGGGCACCCGGCAACAUCUCCA